This 253-nucleotide ribosomal RNA is filed under the name uncultured bacterium. RNAcentral's name for it is "partial 16S ribosomal RNA". It matches the Rfam family "Bacterial small subunit ribosomal RNA", at positions 524 to 776 of the family's 1533-position model. The record is from RNAcentral.
GACAGAGGUCCCGAGCGUUGUUCGGAAUUACUGGGCGUAAAGAGCUCGUAGGCGGUUUGUCGCGUCUGCUGUGAAAUCCCGAGGCUCAACCUCGGGCCUGCAGUGGGUACGGGCAGACUGGAGUGCGGUAGGGGAGAAUGGAAUUCCUGGUGUAGCGGUGGAAUGCGCAGAUAUCAGGAGGAACACCGAUGGCGAAGGCAGUUCUCUGGGCCGUAACUGACGCUGAGGAGCGAAAGCGUGGGGAGCGAACAGG